Molecule: transfer RNA, 74 nt
Filed under: Candidatus Dormiibacterota bacterium
Lineage: Bacteria; Bacillati; Candidatus Dormiibacterota
Also listed under: 4 other names
Description: tRNA-Leu
Rfam family: tRNA
About the family: Transfer RNA (tRNA) molecules are approximately 80 nucleotides in length. Their secondary structure includes four short double-helical elements and three loops (D, anti-codon, and T loops).
Source: RNAcentral
GCCCCCGUGGCCCAAUGGCAGAGGCGGCCGGCUUAAACCCGGCUACGGUGUCGGUUCGACUCCGACCGGGGGCA